UACGUGUAAGGCACAAUCUAUUUCAGUUAUUGUUUUGUUAGUUAAUAAGCUCACAAAGCAAUAACCACUUGACCAGAAUUGAAAGUGUCGGAAAUUGACUAGUAUAGAUAUUAGUUUGUUAUCUCUAUAUAUAAAACUGUUUGUUCUCAUAAAUUGACUGACUAACCGUAAGGGCUAUUAAGCCUUAUGUGAUGGAGGUGCAAUCUAAGACGGGAAGUUACACCUGUAAGUGUGCAAAAAUCGCUGUUGUUUAUUAUACAAGCGACCUUAUUUCAAAGAUAUUUGAUAAAUUUCAUGUGAGACGUAUCGGAACAUCCAUCGCUUCUUGGGGGAAAUGGCGGUUAAAGAUUUGGAUUACAUUACCAAGGAUGUUUUUGAAAAAUAAUUUUGGACGGGUUUCACACUUCACGCAGCGUCCAAGCAUAUUCUGUGAAAAAUGUGACUUGAAAAGUUGUUUCAGGUUUUUCCGAUUUGCUUCAAACUUAUUUUCAAAGCCUUACAUAAAAACUAGAACGGCAACUUUGUGAAAAGUUAUAUCUCAAAGUUUGAAGGACAAGACUUGCCGCGGAAAAGGCCGAGGAAUACUCGCUAGUCUUCUAAUAUAUUUAUGAGGACUUUCCUAAUGCUAACCUUCGGUAUGUGGACUGCCUAAACAUUAGGCCAUAAAAACGAGCCCAAUUAGAAACUAAAAAUGAGUCUAUAAAAAAAAAAAACGACUACAGAAAUUUAAAUUUAAUGAGCGUAUUUACUAGAACACACAGAACAAUUUGAA
Long non-coding RNA from Drosophila montana, 772 nucleotides. RefSeq lists it as uncharacterized. NCBI's taxonomy places the organism in Eukaryota, Metazoa, Arthropoda, Insecta, Diptera, Drosophilidae. The record is from RefSeq and is a predicted model, not a curated record. The transcript has 2 exons.